AAAAAAGGCCGGGCAUGGUGGCUGAUGCCUAUAAAUUCCCAGCACUUUGGGAGGCCAAAGUCAUGAAUAACUUGAGGUCAGGAGUUUGAGACCAGCCUGGCCAACAUGGCGAAACCCCAUUUCUACUAAAAAUACAAAAAAUUAGCUGGGCGUGGUGGUGGGUGCCUGUAAUCCCAGCUACUUGGGAGACUGAGGCAGGAGAAUCACUUGAACCUGGGAGGUGGAGGUUGCAGUGAGCCAAGAUCAUGCCACUGCACUCCAGCCUGGGUGACAGAAAGAGACUCCAUCUAAAAAAAAAGGAAAAAAAAAAAAAAAGAAGGCCAGGUGCAGUGGCUUAUACCUGUAAUCCCAGCACUUUGGGAGGCCGAGGCAGGCAGAUGACAAGGUCAAGAGAUCGAGACCAUCCUGGCCAACAUGGUGAAACCCCAUCUCUACUAAAAAUACAAAAGGUUAGCUGGGCAUGGUGGUGCACACCUGUAGUCCCAGCUACUCAGGAGGUUGAGGCAGGAGAAUUGCUUGAACCCAGGAGGCCGAAGUUGCAGUGAGCCGAGAUCCCUCCACUGCACUCCAGCCUGCACUCCAGCCUAACGCCUGGUGACAGAGCGAGGCUCUGUCUCAAAAAAAAAGUAAAAAGAAAAAAAAAAUGUUUGCUUUAUUGCCAUGAAAAGGUCAUACCAGUUUUUACAUCCACCAACACGAGUUUCUUUUCCAAGUCUUCAACAGCCUGUGAGAGAUAGUUAAAGCAAAGUUGUUCAGAGCACAGGCUUGAGAAUAAGAUUUCAAAGGUAUGAAUCCUCUCCCUUUUUUUUCCUUUUUAGAGGCAGGGUCUUGCUAUGUUGUUCAGGCUGGUCUCAAACUCUUGACCUAAGCAACCCUGACACCUCGGCCUCCAAAUACACUGGGAUUACAGGUGUGAACUACCUUGCCCGACUUCCACUUUCUAGCUAUCUGAUCUUCAGAAAAUCAGUUAAAUUCUCUGGGCCAUAAUUUACUAAUAGGUUUCUUGUAAGUAUUAACAAUUAGCUACUAUUAUUUACCUCCUUUAGUUGCUGAGACUCCUAUGCACAAAAUAUACUUGAUAUGUGCCUCAGAACCUAAUAACCAAAGGUAAUCAGAACUAUAGGUAGUUGUAUGACCUCUAACAAGCUUCUUUCUACCCACCCUGUUCAGUUGUUCCCAGGUCUGACUUCAAGGCGCAAAAUGGCGGCCUCAUCUUUUGCUGUCGUGCGAGCGUCCCGGCUGUCAGUGGAGCCUGAAGAGUUGGGCGCAGUUACUGGGGUAUCCAAAGCUGAGGCAAGUUGACCAGAUCAUUUGAGUUCCUGCCGGGAUGAUGGUGACGCUGCUCCUGGAGCCCGCCGGCCGCUGCUGCUGGGGCUAGCCGGUGCGCAUCGCCGUGCGCGGCCUGGCCCCGGAGCAGCCGGUCACGCUCCGCGCGUCCCUGCGCGACGAGAAUGGCGCGCUCUUCCGGGCCCACGCGCGCUACCGCGCGGACGCCCGCGGGGAGCUGGACCUGGAGCGCGCGCCCGUAUUGGGCGGCAGCUUCGCGGGGUGCGAGCCCAAGGAGCUGCUCUAGACGUUGGAGCCCGAGAAAGCCUUGGGGCGGCUUGUGAAGCGCGACGUACGGACGCCCGUCCCCGUGGAGCUGGAGGUGCUGGACGGCCACGACCCCGAGCCCGGGCGGCUGCUGUGCCAGGCGCGGCACGAGCGCGACUUCCUCCAGCCGGGCGGGCGGUGCGAGCCGGUGCAUGCGGGCCGAGUGCGCAUGCCACGCUCUUCCUGCCGCCAGGUGAGCCACCUCUUUGUCACUCCAGGCGAGCAGCCGCCUCCUUCUGUAGGGCAGGACCAGGUGUUGAUUGUGGCCUCUAAUGGUGUCUUUGUCAUCAUUGGUUUAUGUAAAUUAGCAUUUACAAUAGGAGGAAGGCCUCUUGUUGGCAAAUGGAAAUUUGAAGUUACUGGAUUUUUUUUUUUGAGACGGAGUUUUGCUCUUGUUACCCAGGCUGGAGUGCAAUGGCACAAUCUCAGCUCACUGCAACCUCCGACUCCUAGGUUCAGGCAAUUCUCCCACCUCAGCCUCCUGAGUAGCUAGGAUUACAGGCAUGCGCCACCUUGCCCAGCUAAUUUUUUGUAUUUUUAGUAGAAACGGGGUUUCACCAUGUUGACCAGGAUGGUCUCGAUCUGUUGACCUCGUGAUCCACCCGCCUCGGCCUCCCAAAGUGCUGGGAUUACAGGCUUGAACCACCAUGCCCGGCCUACUGGAUACUUUUAUGUUACAUAAAAAGCAGUCAGGCCAGGCUUGAUGGCUCAUGCCUGUAAUCCCAACACUUUGGGAGGCCGAGGUGGGUGGAUCACCUGAGGUUGGGAGUUCAAGACCAGCCUGACCAACUUGGAGAAACCCCGUCUCUACUAAAAAUACAAAGUUAGCCGGCGUGGUGGUUUAUGCCUGUAAUCCCAGCUACUCUGGAGGCUAAGAUAGGAGAAUUGCUUGAACCUGGGAGGCGGGGGUUGCAGUGGGCCAAGAUCAUGCCAUUGCACUCCGGGCUGAGCAACAAGAGCGAAACUCUGCCUCAAAAAAAAAAAAAAAAAAGCAAUCAGCCAAUGUAAAAAUGAAAUGAUGCUUAUGAUGCGUAUCCUUAUUAAUAAUUAAAGAAAUGCAAAAUAAAACAACAGAGUACAUUUCACACCCUCAGAAGUUGCAGACAUUUAGAAGUCAACAUUAUCAAUUGCUGACCAGUAUGUGGAGGAAAUGAAACUCACUGCUAGAAGGAGUCAGCAUAUUCAUCUACUCUGGCAAAUAAUUUGUCUUAAUUUAGAAAGUUGAAUAUGUGCCUGGGCGUGGUGAUUCACACCUGUAAUCCCAGCACUUUGGGAGGCUGAGGUGGGCGGAUCACCUGAGGUUGGGAGUUCGAGACCAGUCUGACCAAUAUGGUGAAACCCUGUCUCUACUAAUAAUGCAAAAAAUUAGCCAGGCGUGGUGUCAUGCACCUGUAGUCCCAGCUAUUCAGGAGGCUGAGGCAGGAGAAUUGCUUGACCCCAGGUGGCGGAGGUUGCAGUGAGCCAAGAUCAUGCCACUGCACUCCAGCCUGGGUGACAGAGCAAGGCUCUGUCUCAUACAUACAUACUGUGGAAGAAAAGCAUGUAAUAUAAAAGAUAUAUCAGGCCAGGCAUGGUGGCUCACGCCUGUAAUCCCAGCACUUUGGGAGGCCGAGGCGGGUGGAUCACGAGGUCAAGAGAUCAAGACCAUCCUGGUCAACACAGUGAAACCCCGUCUCUACUAAAAAUACAAAAAAUUAUCUGGGCAUGGUGGCGCGUGCCUGUAAUCCCAGCUACUCAGGAGGCUGAGGCAGGAGAAUUGCCUGAACCCAGGAGGCAGAGGUUGCGGUGAGCCGAGAUCGUGCCAUUGCACUCCAACCUGGGUAACAAGAGCGAAACGCCAUCUAAAAAAAAAAGAUAUAUCAGAUUUGAGUUUCUCCCUUAAGAAUGGAAGUUCACAUCUUGCCUAUAAACUGAUUACUACUUAGAUAUAAAACUACCAAAAAAUUUUAAAACAAAUACAUAUUAGUUCUUUGAUAUCUUCUCCUUGGAUUAAUAAGAAUUUUCCUAGGGCAAAUAAAUUUUAUGUUCCUGUUUAUACAUAUGGACCUUUAGGAUUUAUCAGUUUUAUCAGUUUAAAAGCUGAUAAAACACUAUUUAGAUGAAUUACAUAAGUGAUUUUAACAAUGACAAAUAACAUUGGAAAUAAAUAACAAUUUAGGCUAGGCAUGAUGGCUCACUCUUGUAAUGCCAGCACUUUGGGAGGCCAAGGCCAGUGGAUUGCUUGAGUUCAGGAGUUCAAGACAAGCCUGGGAAACAUGGUAAAACCCCAUCUCUACCAGAAACCAAAAAAUAGCUAGACAUAGUGGUGCACGCCUAUAGUCCCAGCUAUUUGAGAGGCCAAGGUGGGAGAAUCGCUUGAGCCUGGGGGCAGAGGUUGCAGCGAGCUGAGAUCAUGCCACUGCACUCCAACCUGGGCAACAGAGCAAGACACUGUCUCAAAAAAAAGAAAAAAAAAGAAAGAAAAGAUAAUAUUUAUAUCAUUUAAUAUAAAUAGUUCCACAAUAAACUUGUUUUUUCUUAAUCCUUAGUUGUAUUUAAAGGAAAAAAUAUCUUAAUUUAUUAUUCUUUUCUUUUCUUUUUUUGGAGGCAGAGUCUCACUCUGUUGCCCAGGCUGGAGUGCAGUGGCACAAUCAUGGCUCACUGCAGCCUCAACCUCGUAUGUUUAAGCUAUCCUCCCACCUCAGCCUCUCUAGCAGCUGAGACCACAGGCACACACCACCAUGCCUGGCUAAUUUUUAAUUUUUUGUAGAGAUGGGGUCUCCCAAUGCUGCCCAGGCAAGUCUUGAAUUACUGAGCUUAAACAAUCCUGCUGCCUCAGCCUCCCAAAUUGCUGAAAUUACAGGUGUAAUCCACCACUACCAGCUUCUAGCACCAUUUUUCUAAAGGAAUUCAUGAUCCGAUAGCAGUAGAAUAUAACCAGAUCUUCAGUACUGAGAUGAUUCCUGAGGUGAAGCUACCUCCUGUGUUACUCUGCAAUCCAGUAAUGCAGCUGGUGCCAUGUGUUGGUGCCAUGUCUGUCCAAACUUCCACAAGAAUGCCAGUGCUGGGCACAGAGCUCCAUUUAGACUACACAUGACAUGAGGCUCUGCCAACUCUUAGAGAUGACACAAUCUGGGACAGUUCCUCAUAGCUGGCCUGGCCAAGUCCACCCCAAGAUGCUAGUCCGUGACACAGAAUUUCAAGUCAUAUUGUUUUAUCUUUUCCCUUGCAGUUAUACAAUAUACGACUCCUUUAGAAAAGUGCAAUAGUUAAAACUUGUUUUAGUAGAUGCUUGUUUAUAGUAAACAAGCAUAAAUAGUAAAAUUUGUUUAGUAGAUACAAUAUACGACUCUCUUAGAAAAGUGCAAUAGUAAAACUUGUUUUUAGUAGAUCCCACACUUAAGUCUGCUGAAACCUUUUGAGAUCUUAAGCACCCUAUUCCCCAUUCUUAGAAAUUCAGGCUGGCGAAUAUUAGAUUCAAAAGCACGACAGAUGAGCCAGUGGGUGUAGAAGCACAUGCCUGUAAUCCCAGCUACUUGGAAGGCUGAGGCAGUAGGGUUGCUUGAACCCAGGAUUAUAGGCAUGAGCACCUGACCCAUCUAUUUUAUUUAUUUUAAAAUAGAUGCCUGGUACAGUGGCUCGUGCCUGUAAUCUCAGCACUUUGGGAGGCUGAGGUGGGCAGAUCACCUGAGGUCAGGAGUUCAAGACCAGCCUGCCCAAUAUGAUGAAACCCCACCUCUGCUAGAAAUACAAAAAUUAGCCAGGUGUGGUGGUGUGCGCCUGUAAUCCCAGCUACUUGGGAGGCUGAGAUAAGAGAAUCGCUUGAACCCGGUAAGCAGAGGUUGCACUGAGCCACGAUCACACCACUGCAUUCCAGCUUGGGCUCCAGAGGCUGAGACAGGAGAAUCACUUGAACCCAGGAGGCGGAGGUUGCAGUGAGCCAAGAUCAAGCCAUUGCACUCCAGCCUGGGCAACAAGAGUGAAAAUCCAUCUCAAAAAAAAAAAAGAAAUGGGUUCUCCCAAUGUUGCCGGUGUUGGUCUUAAACUCCUGGACUCAAGCAAUCCUCCCACCUUUGUCUCUCCCAAAGUGCUGGGAUUACAAGCAUGAGCCACCACACCUGGCCAUGAUGAAUAAUUUUAAAGGGAACCACCACAUAACCAAUACCCAAGUCUAAUGGGCAUGGUUUUUAAAAGUAUAUUUAGGCUGGGUGUGGUGGCUCAUGCCUGUAAUUCCAGCACUAUGGGAGGCCGAGGUGGGUGGAUCAUCUGAGGUUGGGAGUUCAAGACCAGUCUGACCAACACGGAGAAACUCUGUCUCUACUAAAAAUACACAAAUUAGCUGGGCACUGUGGCACGUGCCUAUAAUCCCAGCUACUCGAGAGGCUGAGGCAGAAGAAUCACUUAAACCCAGGAGGCAGAUGUUGUGGUGAGCCGAGAUUGUGCCAUUGCACUCCAGCCUGGGGAACAAGAGCAAAACUUCAUCUCAAAAAAAACCAAAACAACACAAACUCCACCCCCCAAUCACUUAGUACACUUUAUUUGUUUGUUUGUUUAUUUAUUUAUUUUUUUGAGACAGCGUCUCACUCUGUUGUCCAGGCUGGAGUGCAGAAACAAUCUUGGCUCACUGCAACCUCUGCCUCCCAGGUUCAAGCAAUUCACCCACCUCAGCCUCCCAAGUAGCUGGGACUACAGGUGCACACUACCACACCUGGCUAAUUUUUGUAUUUUUUGGUAGAGAUGGAGUUUUACCAAGUUAGUCAAGCUGGUCUCUAACUCCUGACUUCAAGGGAUCCACCCACCUUGGUCUCCCAAAGUGAUGGGAUUACAGAUAUGAGCUACCGUGCCUGGCCCCUGUUGUACACGUUAAAUAUACUUUAAAAAACCAUGUUGGCCAGGCUGGUCUCGAACUCCUGACUUCAAGUGAUCCACUCUCCUUGGCCUCCUAAAAUGAUGGGAUUACAGGCGUGAGCUACCAUACUUGGCCCACGUUGUACACUUUAAAUAUAUAUAUAUAUAUUUUGAGACUGAGUUUUGCUCUUGUUGCCUAGGCUGCAGUAAAGUGGUGUCAUCUCGGUUCACUGCAACCUCCACCUCCCAGGUUCAAGUGAUUCUCCUGCCUUAGCCUCCCGAGUAGCUGGAAUUACAGGCCCACACUACCAAGCCUGGCUAAUUUUUGUAUUUUUAGUAGAGAUGAGGUUUCUUCAUGUUGGUCAGGCUGGUCUUCAACUCUCGACCUCAGGUGAUCCGCCCAUCUCCACCUCCCAAGGUGUUGGGAUUACAGGCAUGAGCCACGGCACCUGGCUUGUUUUUGUUUUAAGAGACAGGCUCUGGGCAGGCUGGAAUGCAGUGGCGCUAUCAUAGCUCAUUGUGGCCUCAAACUCCUGGGCUCCAGCCAUCCUCCCGUUUCAGCCUCCUGAGUAGCUGGGACUAUAGACACUUGCCACCGUGCCCAGCUAAUUUUUAAUUUUUUGUAGAAACUGGGUCUGAUGGCUGGGUGCAGUGGCUCAUGCCUAUAAUCCCAGCACUUUGGGAGUCCAAGGUGGGUGGAUCACGAGGUCAAGAGAUCGAGACCAUCCUGGUCAACAUGGUGAAACCCCAUCUUUACUAAAAAUACAAAAAUUAGCUGGGCAUGGUGGCACAUGCCUGUAAGUCUCAGCUACUCAGAAGGCUGAGGCAGGAGAAUUGCUUGAACCCAGGAGGUGGAGGUUGCGAUGAGCUGAGAUUGUGCCAUUGCACUCCAGCCUUGGUAACAAGAGUGAAACUCUGUCUCAGAAAAAAAAAAAAAAAGAAAGAAACCGGAUCUGCUGACCUUGUGCUCCGCCCACCUCAGCCUCCCCAAAAGCAGGGAUUAUAGGCAUGAGCCACCGCACCUUGCCCAUUCUGGUCACAUUCUGCAGAAAAAUUGAAGUGAGGGGCAGAGCAGUUUGCCAAGGUCAAAGAUCCUGCAAGCCAAUGGCAAGGCAGGAUCUGAACCUGGGGCUUCAGAUCCUGGGGCUCUAUCUGAUUAAAUACCAAGAGAGAGUGCUGAGAUUUUUUUGGUGGUCGACAGUCCCUGAGGCCUUGGGAAAGCCAUUUUUAGAGCAUCUCGACCAUUUGGAAAAUUGAAUCUUUACCAGGGCUUCCCACCUCCCAUUGCCCCUUCUCUGAAGGUGAGCCCCCUCCCAUAGAACCACCCCAACCACUCAGAACCCAAGCCUUCUUGCUUUCACAUGCUGAAGCUAAUAUUACCCUCCACCCCACCCCAACAUCAGGGACCCUGCCCAAGCCCUUCCCUGAGAACCCUUCCCCCUCUCAUGAGGCCUCCUUCCCAGCCCUGCAGAACAGCCUCCUUUAUAAGAGUGGCUAAGAUCCCACUGAAACCUUCCCUAUAAACUUUAUACAAUUGAUCAUGAAAGAAGGGAGGGGGCAAAAUGGAAAUCAGCCCAGCUUGUAGCACACACAGCAUUGGUAAUGAGGUCAGCUGCUCUCCGACCCCUUCUUCAGAGUUGUUUAUGGCCUGUUGCCCCAGAAUCACAUAGACCCUGUCACAAGGUCAUAUUUCCCCUUCAGUGCUCUACAGAUAACAACUUGAACAUUAUGAAACCUUAACUUUUCCAUUUGAGAUAUUCUUUCAGGUCCUGCAUACCAAUGAAACUGAGGCGGGCUAGGUAGUCAAGGGAGUGACCGUGUUCUCACAAUGAGCCUCUGCAUUCACGUUGUAAUUGAGCUCAUUCAAACACAGCUACCUUCAGUAGGGAAUUUCCCUCAUAGACAGCAUGGGCAUUCUGAUUUUACCCGUCCUAAAACUGACAUUUUGCUCAUUAUAAUAGUAAAAGACACCCCUGCAUGGAGAUUUAAUAUGCUAGUGAGAUGUGUAACAUAUGAACAAGCAUGUGCACCCAGAAGACCACCCGGAACAUGCUUACCAGCAACACCUCUUUCCACCACCUUAUGAAUAAUCAUGUAAAACUCCCGUAAAGGGUGUCUCCCUAUUGCCAAUCUCUGCCAUCUCACCCUUAUGAGCAGCCUGCCCUGAAUACUCUCUUUGAGGGUGUACUGUCUAUUCUGCCCGUAACUUUCAAAAUACAAUUUUUCCUUUACAAUAAAUUACUCUAUGCUG
Non-coding RNA from Callithrix jacchus (white-tufted-ear marmoset), 8671 nucleotides. NCBI's taxonomy places the organism in Eukaryota, Metazoa, Chordata, Mammalia, Primates, Cebidae. The record is from RefSeq and is a predicted model, not a curated record.